GCCUAACACAUGCAAGUCGAGCGAAGCACUUUGCUUAGAUUCUUCGGAUGAAGAGGAUUGUGACUGAGCGGCGGACGGGUGAGUAACGCGUGGGUAACCUGCCUCAUACAGGGGGAUAACAGUUAGAAAUGACUGCUAAUACCGCAUAAGACCACAGCACCGCAUGGUGCAGGGGUAAAAACUCCGGUGGUAUGAGAUGGACCCGCGUCUGAUUAGCUAGUUGGUAAGGUAACGGCUUACCAAGGCGACGAUCAGUAGCCGACCUGAGAGGGUGACCGGCCACAUUGGGACUGAGACACGGCCCAAACUCCUACGGGAGGCAGCAGUGGGGAAUAUUGCACAAUGGGGGAAACCCUGAUGCAGCGACGCCGCGUGAGUGAAGAAGUAUUUCGGUAUGUAAAGCUCUAUCAGCAGGGAAGAAAAUGACGGUACCUGACUAAGAAGCACCGGCUAAAUACGUGCCAGCAGCCGCGGUAAUACGUAUGGUGCAAGCGUUAUCCGGAUUUACUGGGUGUAAAGGGAGCGUAGACGGAUGGGCAAGUCUGAUGUGAAAACCCGGGGCUCAACCCCGGGACUGCAUUGGAAACUGUUCAUCUAGAGUGCUGGAGAGGUAAGUGGAAUUCCUAGUGUAGCGGUGAAAUGCGUAGAUAUUAGGAGGAACACCAGUGGCGAAGGCGGCUUACUGGACAGUAACUGACGUUGAG
RNAcentral lists this ribosomal RNA (704 nucleotides) under uncultured Lachnospiraceae bacterium. RNAcentral describes it as "bacterial SSU rRNA". It matches the Rfam family "Bacterial small subunit ribosomal RNA", at positions 46 to 750 of the family's 1533-position model. Lineage: Bacteria; Bacillati; Bacillota; Clostridia; Lachnospirales; Lachnospiraceae. The record is from RNAcentral.